UUUUUUUUUCUCCUUUUUUGAACUGGAAUGUCUCUAAUUUUUAUCCAAUGCCUGUCCCACCAAUUGUCUAUUGAGAACAGAUCUCAAGACGGAGAGGAAUUGUGCCCAGGAGCUGUACCUGAUAGAUUCUAUUCAGGAGCCUCAGCAGCACCUGAUGUGGACAUUGAACUGAUGCUGUCGUGGGAUGAGGCUUUAGGAACCUUAAGAAGGAGAAGACAAAGCCAGAGACAUUCGCAGCAUGAGAAGGACUCGAUGCCACAUUACAGCAUAGAGGAUCUGAGGAAGGAGAAAGCCACCUGAGAAAGAAUGCAGACAGUCUGUAGAAGCAGAGAAUGGCUCCUGAAUGACAAUCAGCAAGGAAACAGGGACCUCAGUCCUUCAACUGCAAGACACUGAAUUCAGAGAAUGGCUCCUGAAUGACAAUCAGCAAGGAAACAGGGACCUCAGUCCUUCAACUGCAAGACACUGAAUUAUGCCAAUGCAGGAAUGACCUUGGAAAGGGACGCUGAGUCUGGGUGAGAAUGUAGCCAGCCAUCACCUUGAUU
This 545-nucleotide long non-coding RNA is filed under the name Equus asinus (donkey). RNAcentral describes it as "lncRNA (ENSEASG00005030383.1)". Lineage: Eukaryota; Metazoa; Chordata; Mammalia; Perissodactyla; Equidae. The record is from RNAcentral.